Molecule: ribosomal RNA, 292 nt
Filed under: uncultured bacterium
Lineage: Bacteria
Description: partial 16S ribosomal RNA
Source: RNAcentral
GGACUACCGGGGUUUCUAAUCCUGUUUGCUCCCCACGCUUUCGCAGUUGAGUGUCAGUAACUGUCCAGGCCGCCGCUUUCGCCUCUGGUGUUCCUCCCGAUCUCUACGCAUUUCACCGCUACACCGGGAAUUCCACGACCCUCUCCAGUACUCCAGUCCCACCGUUUCUAAGGCACUUCUUGAGUUAAGCUCAAGGAUUUCACCCCAGACAAAUGAGACCACCUACCUGCCCUUUACGCCCAAUGAUUCCGAGCAACGCUUGCACCCUCUGUAUUACCGCGGCUGCUGGCAC